This 254-nucleotide ribosomal RNA is filed under the name uncultured bacterium. RNAcentral describes it as "partial 16S ribosomal RNA". It matches the Rfam family "Bacterial small subunit ribosomal RNA", at positions 524 to 777 of the family's 1533-position model. The record is from RNAcentral.
UACAGGGGGUGCAAACGUUGCUCGGAAUUAUUGGGCGUAAAGCGCGCGUAGGCGGCUACUUAAGUCGGAUGUGAAAGCCCCUGGCUCAACUGGGGAAGUGCACCCGAAACUGAGUAGCUUGAGUGCAAAAGAGGGCCGCGGAAUUCCCGGUGUAGAGGUGAAAUUCGUAGAUAUCGGGAGGAACACCAGUGGCGAAGGCGGCGACCUGGGCCAAUAUUGACGCUAAUGUGCGAAAGCGUGGGGAGCAAACAGGG